AGUAUUCCCUCGGCCAGCAGAGCACUUAAUAAACAUCAGUGGAUCUGAACUUGAAUCAAAUGGCAGGUAGCAGCUUGCAGACGCCUGAAAAACCUGGGCACUGAGGUCUCGCAUGCCUGUGGUCCUGUCGCAAGAGGUGGAGUCCGUUCUUGUGGGUGCUGCUAUUCUGGGUGCCUGUGCCUCAGGGGAUUUCGCUUCUGUACAGGAAGCAAUGGCAAAAAUGAGCAAAGUUGGGAAAGUUGUGUUCCCGAGACUACAGGAUAAAAAAUACUAUGAUAAGAAAUACCAAGUAUUCCUGAAGCUGGUUGAACACCAGAAGGAGUAUUUGGCGAUCAUGAAUGAUGACUGAACAGGGCUUGCAGGUGCUGAUGCCAGAAGCUUCUGUGCCAUUGCAUUAAAGACUUCUGUCAUUUGAUCCAUGUUCAAGACCCUUGAGGUAUUGUUUCAUCAUUUCUGUAUUGUCUUUCAAUAAAGAAAACAAACAUGUGCAACCA
This 494-nucleotide small RNA is filed under the name Pan troglodytes (chimpanzee). RNAcentral describes it as "processed transcript". Lineage: Eukaryota; Metazoa; Chordata; Mammalia; Primates; Hominidae. The record is from RNAcentral.